RNAcentral lists this long non-coding RNA (1432 nucleotides) under Taeniopygia guttata (zebra finch). RNAcentral describes it as "lncRNA (ENSTGUG00000025148.1)". The record is from RNAcentral. Lineage: Eukaryota; Metazoa; Chordata; Aves; Passeriformes; Estrildidae.
AUGGCGCUCUUACCUCUCGCUCUCCCCUCACGGAGCGGCGGGAAACGGCGGUGCCCUCACGGAGCGGCGGUGCCCUCACGGAGGAGCGGCUGUGCCCUCACGGAGCGGCGGUGCCCUCACGGAGCGGCGGUGCCCUCACGGAGAGGCGGCUGUGCCCUCACGGAGAGGCGGCUGUGCCCUCACGGAGCGGCGGCUGUGCCCUCACGGAGUGGCGGGAAACGGCUGUGCCCUCACGGAAUGACGGUGCCCUCACGGAGCGGCGGUGCCCUCACGGAGGAGCGGCUGUGCCCUCACGGAGAGGCGGCUGUGCCCUCACGGAGCGGCUGUGCCCUCACGGUGCGGCUGUGCCCUCACGGAGAGGCGGCUGUGCCCUCACGGAGCGGCUGUGCCCUCACGGAGAGGCGGCUGUGCCCUCACGGAGCGGCGGGAAACGGCUGUGCCCUCACGGAGAGGCGGCUGUGCCCUCACGGAGGAGCGGCUGUGCCCUCACGGAGAGGCGGCUGUGCCCUCACGGAGAGGCGGGAAACGGCUGUGCCCUCACGGAGCGGCUGUGCCCUCACGGAGGAGCGGCUGUGCCCUCACGGAGAGGCGGCUGUGCCCUCACGGAGCGGCUGUGCCCUCACGGAGCGGCUGUGCCCUCACGGAGGAGCGGCUGUGCCCUCACGGAGCGGCUGUGCCCUCACAGAGCGGCUGUGCCCUCACGGAGGAGCGGCGGUGCCCUCACGGAGAGGCGGCUGUGCCCUCACGGACCGGCUGUGCCCUCACGGAGCGGCUGUGCCCUCACGGUGCGCUGUGCCCUCACGGAGCGGCGGUGCCCUCACGGAGCGGCGGGAAACGGCUGUGCCCUCACGGACCGGCCGUGCCCUCACGGAGAGGCGGGAAACGGCUGUGCCCUCACGGACCGGCUGUGCCCUCACGGAGGAGCGGCUGUGCCCUCACGGAGCGGCUGUGCCCUCACGGAGAGGCGGGAACCGGCUGUGCCCUCACGGAGAGGCGGGAAACGGCUGUGCCCUCACGGACCGGCCGUGCCCUCACGGAGAGGCGGGAAACGGCUGUGCCCUCACGGACCGGCUGUGCCCUCACGGAGGAGCGGCUGUGCCCUCACGGAGCGGCUGUGCCCUCACGGAGAGGCGGGAACCGGCUGUGCCCUCACGGAGAGGAGGGAAACGGCGGUGCCCUCACGGAGCGGCGGUGCCCUCACGGUGCGGCUGUGCCCUCACGGAGAGGCGGGAAACGGCUGUGCCCUCACGGAGAGGCUGUGCCCUCACGGAGAGGCGACUGUGCCCUCACGGAGGAGCGGCUGUGCCCUCACGGAGUAGCGGCUGUGCCCUCACGGAGAGGCGGGACGCAGUUUUCCCUCACGGUACCGGUUUUCCCUCACGGGAUGAGGUUUCCCCUCACGGGACGAGGUUUUUCCCUCACGGAAUGAGGU